Molecule: ribosomal RNA, 253 nt
Filed under: uncultured bacterium
Lineage: Bacteria
Description: partial 16S ribosomal RNA
Rfam family: Bacterial small subunit ribosomal RNA
Source: RNAcentral
UACGGGGGGGGCAAGCGUUGUUCGGAAUUACUGGGCGUAAAGCGUGCGCAGGCGGUUAUGUAAGACAGGUGUGAAAUCCCCGGGCUUAACCUGGGAACUGCAUUUGUGACUGCAUAGCUAGAGUACGGCAGAGGGGGAUGGAAUUCCGCGUGUAGCAGUGAAAUGCGUAGAUAUGCGGAGGAACACCGAUGGCGAAGGCAAUCCCCUGGGCCUGUACUGACGCUCAUGCACGAAAGCGUGGGGAGCAAACAGG